UUAAAUAACUUUGGCUCAGUUAAUAGUGUUGUUCCACAAUACAACUUGCAACUUCUUUCUCUCUAACAGAGCCAUGCUGGAAAUUACAAUGGGGAAGAAGGUCCAUCAACCUCCACAGCACAGCUUACCUCAGUAAGAUGUUGUUCAGCAUUGACCCACAACUUACAAUGACACUAAAUAGACAUGGCACUGAAAUUCAAUGUCAUUUAUGUUCCUAUAGCUCCCUGUGAAACAACUUUACAAGGUAUAUUUAGAAUCUCAAAUAAACAAAUCACACCUAGAAAUGGAGCACAUAAGGCUGCAGAUCACCAAAACAGAAAAGGAAAUACAACUGCUGGACCAUCAGUUAAAGGAAAUAAAGAAGACCUCAUAAAAUGAGAUGCAUAUUGUCGUUCUUGAACAUUGGGGAGGUGAUGGGUCAGUUAGAAAUGAUUGACACAUAUCAUGUCUCUAACAGCUCUUCCAUCUCGUGUAUCAGCAGGGGGGGUAUGAUUAAUACCUGGAUCACAGGGGGAAAGAGUAGGACAUUGUUCUCCUCUAAUAGUGGCAAUGUUGUGGAGAACCACACAUGCCACUAUAAUGUCACAAGCUCUCUCUGGGGUGACCCUGAGCCUACGAAGGCACUGGAACCGGGCCUUGAGUAUCCCGAUGGUCAUCUCCACUCUGGCUCGUGUCCUGCAGUGAGCCAAGUUGUAGUGUCGCUGUGGGCCAGGCUCAGGGUCAGGGUAAGGGGUCAGCAGAUAGCGCUGGCAGGGGUACCCUCUGUCUCCGAGUAGGUAACCAUCGAACUCUACUAUGAUAAUACAAGAUACAGUUUGUUUCAGUUGCAAUAGGAGGAAACAAAAUAUUUGAUCAUAGGAUAUAACUAUAUACUGUAUAUAAAUUAUAUAUAUAAACUCACCACCGGCAAAUCUGGCACUCAGUGUCGACUCACGAAACAUUCGUGAGUCAUGCACAGACCCAGGCCACUUCGCUUCCACAUUGUUAAUCAUGUGGGCUCCAUCACAUAUGAUCUUCACAGUGGAGAACAGUAAUUAGCUGUAUGGUGUAGUGUAUUUAAUUUGGAAUGUUAAAGGCUACUAUUUAGGCCUACCUGCACAUUAAUGCUGUGGACAGAUUUCCUAUUCACAUAAUCUCCUUCAUUUAUUGAAGGAGCGAUGAUAGGAAUGUGAGUGCCAUCUAUGCAGCCAAUCACACCUGGAAACCCUAAAAUAUAUCAAAUUGACUGAUUAGUGCUUCAAGUCUCAAAGCUUUAUGACAUAAAUGAAUUACUGCUUAGACUGAUACCUGCAAUUCUGUGGAACUCUUCUUUGAGAAGUCUGGUGGGUCUGUGACUUGGGAACACUACAAACGUGCAUAGUAGCCGUUUCAGUGCAAGUGUCACAUUUCGGACAGCCCGACAGACAGUUGCCUUGGACACAUGCUCUGCAUCACCGACGUUAUACAAAAAACUG
Molecule: long non-coding RNA, 1454 nt
Organism: Pleuronectes platessa (European plaice)
Lineage: Eukaryota; Metazoa; Chordata; Actinopteri; Pleuronectiformes; Pleuronectidae
Exons: 2
Source: RefSeq, a predicted model, not a curated record